This 261-nucleotide ribosomal RNA is filed under the name uncultured prokaryote. Its description in RNAcentral is "partial 16S ribosomal RNA". It matches the Rfam family "Bacterial small subunit ribosomal RNA", at positions 524 to 784 of the family's 1533-position model. The record is from RNAcentral.
UACGUAGGGGGCAAGCGUUAUCCGGAUUUACUGGGUGUAAAGGGAGCGCAGACGGAACUGCAAGUCUGAUGUGAAAGCCCGGGGCUCAACCGCGGGACUGCAUCGGAUACUGUGGAUCUGGAGUGCCGGAGGGGCAAGCGGAAUUCCUGGUGUAGCGGUGAAAUGCGUAGAUAUCAGGAGGAACACCGGCGGCGAAGGCGGCUUGCUGGACGGCAACUGACGUUGAGGCUCGAAAGCGUGUGGAGCAAACAGGAUUAGAUA